UACGUAGGGGGCAAGCGUUGUCCGGAAUCAUUGGGCGUAAAGAGCGUGUAGGCGGCUCGAUCAGUCCGCUGUGAAAGUCCAGGGCUCAACCCUGGAAGGCCGGUGGAAACUGUCGGGCUAGAGUCCGGAAGAGGCGAGUGGAAUUCCCGGUGUAGCGGUGAAAUGCGCAGAUAUCGGGAGGAACACCAAUGGCGAAGGCAGCUCGCUGGGACGGUACUGACGCUGAGACGCGAAAGCGUGGAGAGCAAACAGG
RNAcentral lists this ribosomal RNA (253 nucleotides) under uncultured bacterium. Its description in RNAcentral is "partial 16S ribosomal RNA". It matches the Rfam family "Bacterial small subunit ribosomal RNA", at positions 524 to 776 of the family's 1533-position model. The record is from RNAcentral.